Molecule: long non-coding RNA, 656 nt
Organism: Bos taurus (domestic cattle)
Lineage: Eukaryota; Metazoa; Chordata; Mammalia; Artiodactyla; Bovidae
Source: Ensembl
GCUCGCGACCGUCCCCACCGAGGAGCGACACUCGGUGGCUCGGCCGAGUGGGAUCUAGGAGAGACCGGCAUAACGAGGAACUUUAUCUUGGCCCUUCGGUCCAGAAAAGUGUCCGAGAGCUCCAGCAGCCUGAACAUACCAGAAUGCCCGCCCGCUAAUGAUCACACCUUAAGCUUGUUUAGUUUUCAGUAAGUGAGUUGUCACAUCAGCCGGAUGAAAUAGAGUUCGACAGUUCCUGUGUGCUUCCUGGGAAUUUUUUCAGUGGCCUGCAAAGGAGCUGAGAUUCUGAGCUUCACUGAGUUUCAGUGAAAAGCGUGGAAACAGCAAGGGUCAGCCUUUCCUGGAAACAGCCCUUGUGAUCUGGCAUCCUGGGAAUUUGCCCAGCUGGACUUGUCCGUUUCUCCCAUGCCUCAUGAAGCACGUACAUCAAUUUCCCUGUGCCUGCCUAAGUGCCCCUCCAUCAGGGGCUCCCCAGGAUGAGAAUGUCACCAUCAGGCUCAGCAGUGCGGCACCUUCAAGUGGGAGGAUCUGAGAACAUACUUGGAUGAGGCUCAAGCCACACAGUGCCAGAGUGGCAAGAAAGAAGCCCCCUGACGAGACGAGCAGUCAAUUAGGACCACUGGGAAGAAUGCCAUCUUUGUGAAAAUAUUCUGGGC